RNAcentral lists this non-coding RNA (27 nucleotides) under Rattus norvegicus (Norway rat). The record is from RNAcentral. Lineage: Eukaryota; Metazoa; Chordata; Mammalia; Rodentia; Muridae.
UGUUAGAAAUCCACUGACACUCAUCAC